ACUAAGCGUACACGGUGGAUGCCCUGGCAGUCAGAGGCGAUGAAGGACGUGCUAAUCUGCGAAAAGCGCCGGCGAGGUGAUAUGAACCUUUGACCCGGCGAUGUCCGAAUGGGGAAACCCAGUGCAAUUCGUUGCACUAUCGUUAACUGAAUACAUAGGUUAACGAGGCGAACCGGGGGAACUGAAACAUCUAAGUACCCCGAGGAAAAGAAAUCAACCGAGAUUCCCCCAGUAGCGGCGAGCGAACGGGGAGCAGCCCGGAGUCUGAAUCAGCUUGUGUGUUAGUGGAACGGUCUGGAAAGUCCGACGGUACAGGGUGAUAGUCCCGUACACGAAAGCACACAUGCUGUGAACUCGAAGAGUAGGGCGGGACACGUGGUAUCCUGUCUGAAUAUGGGGGGACCAUCCUCCAAGGCUAAAUACUCCUGACUGACCGAUAGUGAACCAGUACCGUGAGGGAAAGGCGAAAAGAACCCCGGCGAGGGGAGUGAAAAAGAACCUGAAACCGUGUACGUACAAGCAGUGGGAGCCUCUUUAUGGGGUGACUGCGUACCUUUUGUAUAAUGGGUCAGCGACUUAUAUUCUGUAGCAAGGUUAACCGUAUAGGGGAGCCGAAGGGAAACCGAGUCUUAACUGGGCGUUAAGUUGCAGGGUAUAGACCCGAAACCCGGUGAUCUAGCCAUGGGCAGGUUGAAGGUUGGGUAACACUAACUGGAGGACCGAACCGACUAAUGUUGAAAAAUUAGCGGAUGACCUGUGGCUGGGGGUGAAAGGCCAAUCAAACCGGGAGAUAGCUGGUUCUCCCCGAAAGCUAUUUAGGUAGCGCCUCGUGAACUCAUCUUCGGGGGUAGAGCACUGUUUCGGCUAGGGGGCCAUCCCGGCUUACCAACCCGAUGCAAACUACGAAUACCGAAGAAUGUUAUCACGGGAGACACACGGCGGGUGCUAACGUCCGUCGUGAAGAGGGAAACAACCCAGACCGCCAGCUAAGGUCCCAAAGUCAUGGUUAAGUGGGAAACGAUGUGGGAAGGCACAGACAGCCAGGAUGUUGGCUUAGAAGCAGCCAUCAUUUAAAGAAAGCGUAAUAGCUCACUGGUCGAGUCGGCCUGCGCGGAAGAUGUAACGGGGCUAAACCAUGCACCGAAGCUGCGGCAGCGACGCUUAUGCGUUGUUGGGUAGGGGAGCGUUCUGUAAGCCGUUGAAGGUGUGCUGUGAGGCAUGCUGGAGGUAUCAGAAGUGCGAAUGCUGACAUAAGUAACGAUAAAGCGGGUGAAAAGCCCGCUCGCCGGAAGACCAAGGGUUCCUGUCCAACGUUAAUCGGGGCAGGGUGAGUCGACCCCUAAGGCGAGGCCGAAAGGCGUAGUCGAUGGGAAACAGGUUAAUAUUCCUGUACUUGGUGUUACUGCGAAGGGGGGACGGAGAAGGCUAUGUCAGCCGGGCGACGGUUGUCCCGGUUUAAGCAUGUAGGCGGAGGUUCCAGGUAAAUCCGGUACCUUAUUAACGCUGAGGUGUGAUGACGAGGCACUACGGUGCUGAAGUGAUAAAUGCCCUGCUUCCAGGAAAAGCCUCUAAGCAUCAGGUAACACGAAAUCGUACCCCAAACCGACACAGGUGGUCAGGUAGAGAAUACCAAGGCGCUUGAGAGAACUCGGGUGAAGGAACUAGGCAAAAUGGUGCCGUAACUUCGGGAGAAGGCACGCUGAUAUGUAGGUGAAGUCCCUGCGGACGGAGCUGAAAUCAGUCGAAGAUACCAGCUGGCUGCAACUGUUUAUUAAAAACACAGCACUGUGCAAACACGAAAGUGGACGUAUACGGUGUGACGCCUGCCCGGUGCCGGAAGGUUAAUUGAUGGGGUUAGCGGCAACGCGAAGCUCUUGAUCGAAGCCCCGGUAAACGGCGGCCGUAACUAUAACGGUCCUAAGGUAGCGAAAUUCCUUGUCGGGUAAGUUCCGACCUGCACGAAUGGCGUAAUGAUGGCCAGGCUGUCUCCACCCGAGACUCAGUGAAAUUGAACUCGCUGUGAAGAUGCAGUGUACCCGCGGCAAGACGGAAAGACCCCGUGAACCUUUACUAUAGCUUGACACUGAACACUGGUCCUUGAUGUGUAGGAUAGGUGGGAGGCUUUGAAGCGUGGACGCCAGUCUGCGUGGAGCCAACCUUGAAAUACCACCCUUUAAUGGCUGGUGUUCUAACGUAGACCCGUAAUCCGGGUUGCGGACAGUGUCUGGUGGGUAGUUUGACUGGGGCGGUCUCCUCCCAAAGAGUAACGGAGGAGCACGAAGGUUGGCUAAUCCUGGUCGGACAUCAGGAGGUUAGUGCAAUGGCAUAAGCCAGCUUGACUGCGAGCGUGACGGCGCGAGCAGGUGCGAAAGCAGGUCAUAGUGAUCCGGUGGUUCUGAAUGGAAGGGCCAUCGCUCAACGGAUAAAAGGUACUCCGGGGAUAACAGGCUGAUACCGCCCAAGAGUUCAUAUCGACGGCGGUGUUUGGCACCUCGAUGUCGGCUCAUCACAUCCUGGGGCUGAAGUAGGUCCCAAGGGUAUGGCUGUUCGCCAUUUAAAGUGGUACGCGAGCUGGGUUUAGAACGUCGUGAGACAGUUCGGUCCCUAUCUGCCGUGGGCGCUGGAGAAUUGAGGGGGGCUGCUCCUAGUACGAGAGGACCGGAGUGGACGCAUCACUGGUGUUCGGGUUGUCAUGCCAAUGGCACUGCCCGGUAGCUAAAUGCGGAAAAGAUAAGUGCUGAAAGCAUCUAAGCACGAAACUUGCCCCGAGAUGAGUUCUCCCUGAGACCUUGAGUCUCCUGAAGGAACGUUGAAGACGACGACGUUGAUAGGUCGGGUGUGUAAGCGCAGCGAUGCGUUGAGCUAACCGAUACUAAUGAACCGUGAGGCUUAACC
This 2895-nucleotide ribosomal RNA is filed under the name Enterobacter cloacae. RNAcentral describes it as "bacterial LSU rRNA". It matches the Rfam family "Bacterial large subunit ribosomal RNA". The record is from RNAcentral. Lineage: Bacteria; Pseudomonadati; Pseudomonadota; Gammaproteobacteria; Enterobacterales; Enterobacteriaceae.